AGCGAACGCUGGCGGCAGGCUUAACACAUGCAAGUCGAGCGGGCACUUCGGUGUCAGCGGCAGACGGGUGAGUAACACGUGGGAACGUACCCUUUGGUUCGGAAUAACGCUGGGAAACUAGCGCUAAUACCGGAUACGCCCUUUUGGGGAAAGGCUUGCUGCCGAAGGAUCGGCCCGCGUCUGAUUAGCUAGUUGGUGGGGUAAUGGCCUACCAAGGCGACGAUCAGUAGCUGGUCUGAGAGGAUGAUCAGCCACACUGGGACUGAGACACGGCCCAGACUCCUACGGGAGGCAGCAGUGGGGAAUAUUGGACAAUGGGCGCAAGCCUGAUCCAGCCAUGCCGCGUGAGUGAUGAAGGCCUUAGGGUAGUAAAGCUCUUUUGUCCGGGACGAUAAUGACGGUACCGGAAGAAUAAGCCCCGGCUAACUUCGUG
RNAcentral lists this ribosomal RNA (433 nucleotides) under uncultured bacterium. RNAcentral describes it as "partial 16S ribosomal RNA". It matches the Rfam family "Bacterial small subunit ribosomal RNA", at positions 29 to 507 of the family's 1533-position model. The record is from RNAcentral.